This is a long non-coding RNA of Spinacia oleracea (spinach), 3010 nucleotides long. RefSeq lists it as uncharacterized. The transcript has 4 exons. Lineage: Eukaryota; Viridiplantae; Streptophyta; Magnoliopsida; Caryophyllales; Amaranthaceae. The record is from RefSeq and is a predicted model, not a curated record.
CUAAUUAUCUUCAUAAAAGUUCUCUUUUCCUCUUUUGAAAGUUGAAAUCAAUAGUACAGUAAGUGCAUAUCAUUUUUACGAUAAAUAAAAUUUGGAUAAGUACAGUAAAUGUAAUAAUAAAACGUGUACAUUAGUAUUCUAUGCUUAAGUAUCCAUUCCGUUUUACUUAUUAGGAUUGUUGAGGGCAUUAUCUCUUGCUCCAGUAAGUUGUUUCCAUGUAUUUGAAAGAUACUCCAUAUUAUUUUUGUUAGUGGCCCUUAAACUACUAUUCUUCUGGAGCUAAGUGACAGAAAUAGAAUUUAAUAUGGUCAUGGACUCAUGGGUGUGUUCCUGUAGUUACUGGAAAAGACAAUGGUUUGCUAUCCAGGCAAUUAGAAACUAAGCUAAAGUUCAUGAUAUAGUUUCAACUAGCCCUUGUUGGGAAAUUAUGUAUUGUACUUUGGUGUUUAUUGCUGCAGUGGUGGGGAUUCAGGGACAAGCGAUAUGGCGAGCUUAGGAACCUUAAAACUGUUUCGUGUUGUCUUUUCUGUGACAUUUAUACGUAAUGGUGCAUAUUGUAAUGAACGAACAUCCCUUUAUCCCCAACUGGUAUUUAGAAACUGAUGCUUGAAGGUUUACUUUGAUGGAAGAGUUGCUACUAGUGUGCACUGUGCAGGAUGAUUUUGCUAGAAACAAAGCACAAGCCAGUAUGUCCUUUAUUCAUAGAGUAUACAUAAUGUAGAAAUUGUGUUAAUAGUGUCUUUUGUCUUAUGAUAGCUGUUAUGAGAUUUACGCUUCCAGUUUUCCUUAUUUUUGCUUGUCCUAUGAAUUGUGAUUGUCACCUUGGUAUCUAGCAUCUGUCUGUAAGCUGCUUUAAGCAUGGGUCUGUUUUUUCAUUAGUGAAUCAUAUGUUUCGAUUGUUUAUUGUUUCUUGCUGAGUGUAUACUGUAGGUCUGUAGCAGAAGCAGCAUUAUACUGCUUGCACUUGCAACACUAUAUUCUCUUUAACUUCUUGGUUUGUAUUUUUUUUCCUAUAAUCUUGUUGUUAAUUGCUGGUAGCCUGGUACCAUGAAAUUCACUUUUUCUCAAGUUCCUGCAUCUUUUCUCAACAACCUCUUUUAAUUCUGUGUAUUUUAUUCUCAAUUGUCAACUGUAAUUGAAGCUUAUGCUACAUACAACAGUGUUUAAUGGUCAGCAUCUUGAUACUUUCCUUUUUCUAUCUUGCCCGUUUUAAGCUGGCUAUAUUCUUUUGAAACCAACUGACAUAAACAAUAGGGUCCACUUAAAUAUGCAAUGGUUCAUGAGAUUUAUAAAUGCUGAUAUAUUGAGAAGAUAACAAAGCCUGCCUAUUUGUAUCUGAUGCAUCAUGAAGCCUCAUAACCAUACUACAUUGUACUAUUUACAUCAUUGGUUGAUUUGAUACUGAGGAGGUUCCUACCUGAGUGGGAUAUGGGUGAUCACAUAUAUCGAACAUCAGCACUGUUAUUGCAGAGAGGUUUGUUAGUUAGACCGUGGUCAGAACUCUAAUUGACUGGCCUAAAACUUCAUAAGAAAGGAAUACUAGCUGACAGGUCGUCUGUCAUAUUUUUGAGCUAAAACCUGCUGUCUAGUCAUUCAACUGCUGUCACACUUGUCUUGGUAAAUCCUAUACCUGAACUGUUCAUUGGUGAACACCUGGAAUAUGAUUUUUUAUGGAGAAACUCCAAUUAAACCCCAGUUGUGGUUUGCCCAUGAAUUAGAAUAAAGUAAUAAAUAUUCUGGAAAUUUGCUGGUUUCCGAUUGAGCAUUUGAACUUAGAGGUGAUUUAUAGUUGUGAGGAAAAAUGAGCUUAAAGAUACUUAUAGUCAAUUGCCUAUUAUCAUUAGCUUGUGUGAUAGUUCUGUUCAUAGUCCCUUCCACAUAGCCUAAGCAGCGAUUCAUCUCAUAUUUACUUGUCAAUAAUGUAUGUUUUAUGUAUGUUAUCGUGAAAUAUACUGAUUUCUGUAGACUAUGUUGCUUGCAGGUAAUCCUGAAUGGGUGGCUUCGUAUCUACAGACGACAACGAAGAGAACAAGAAUUGAUGCAAUCUGAAGUUGUUGAGGAAAUAAUAUACGGUCUGGAGUCUGGCAUUCCUUGGGAUGGCGACUGUCAUAUCAAAACUAGGAUUUAUGUUUUUGGAGCAGGGUUUUUCGACGAUGUUUCUUCCACUUAGUGUGGCAAUAAGUAUAUGUUGUAGUGUCACAGGAUUUGUUUACCAGGUAUUUCUCGAAUUGAACUUUCAGAUAAAAAUUGUAGCCUUUAUUCUUUUUGUAACCAAGUGAAUGUUGCAUUUGAGGUUUGGGUUUGCAAGUCAACAUCUUCUGAACAUGUGUUUUUUAACCCCUAUAAUUACUACCAUUUUGUAUCAAUGCCUGAUUACCUUCCUCAUCGAAUGUUAACAUCAAAGAGAACCUGCUCCAUUAAGUUUUGUGUAGUGCCACCACAUAACUUCAAUAAGUUGUCAUGGUACUUGUGUGGCAAGUAAAGCUUUGGCGUGAUUACAUUACAUUGAAUCUGGUGUAGCAAACCAAGUCUAUUUCUAGCUAGUUGGGAAGUUUCCAUAGGAAAUGGGGAGACUUGUUUAGAUCUUGUCUGAAAAUUACUUUAUUGAUGUCUUUGAAACAGACGAGGGGUUUGAAGCAUGGCAGGGCUUUGUUUUUAUUAACUAUUGGCCUUGCAAGAUAAAGUAUUAUGUUUCUUAAUCAGUGUGCUCAACAAAUCGGCAGAACUGAGUGUGGCUAUUACGUUAUGAAGUUCAUGUUAGAGAUAGUCACGUUACAACAUGACUAUGAAGGCCGGCUAGAUGAGGUCUAUACUCCGAGGACUGCGCCUUAUGCUAGUGAGGAAAUUGAUGUGGUUCGUGAGCAAUGGGCGAAGUUUUUUACCACCAAGUAUUUAUUAUUGACCUGAGGGCGCUUGAUCGUGUUGGUUUAGAUGUUAUAGAACAAUCUUUUAUGUUAAAAUGUAUGCGUACGUUGAAAUUGGAACGUAAAUAUAUUUAAAUGUAUCGGUA